CAGAGGAUGGUCACCCCUGGUGACAUUAUAAAACAGUGUCUGAACUCACCCAGCUGGGGAACAGGCAGAGAAACCCCAUGGCUUCACCAUCCUCAGUGCAAUGCUAUUCAUUAUCACCUGAAAAACUCUAGGAAUCUACAGGAUGGUCCAUGGAUGCCACACUCAGACCUCCUCAGUGGUGACCUUGGUAUAUUGAACCACAAGGCUGAUAGAAGACUGGUUGCGAUGAGGAGAUCAAAAGAGCUUAUAUAUGAGAAAGAAACGAUGCUGCUCACUGUGAAUACAAAACACAGUAGUGACAGCUGCCAGUGAAGUAGCGACACUGAGCCCGGAGUUCUGCUGAGGAUGUCCCAAAGCACCUCCCGAAAGCAGGCAGCAAGACAAGCCACAGCAAUCAAACCAGAUGUUUCCAGUUCUCAGCCAACGUCGCCUGGGGACCCUCCCAUUGAGAAUGUUACCUCCCCAAGAAGGAAGAGGAACUGAUCUUUUAUGAACACUUAUCAACCUAAAGCCAAGGAAGACAGCCCAGCAGCGUGCUGACUUAUGGGUAAAGCCAGCCAAAAGUCAUCCUCCAAUAUAUAUCCAUUUAUCCUUCUUUAGUGGUGGCUUUCAAAAUUGUCCCCUCCCCAUUCCUUUUCCAUCCCCAUGGUGCAUGCCCAUCACCUCACACCUGAACCCCAGUGUCAGGCUCCUGCAUGGUCUUGCUGCCACAUCCCUCCUCAUAGCUAUCUUUCCCCAGAAGGAGUAGCGCUGUGUGCAACCUGGAUGACAGGGCCUCUCAGAGGUGUAGAAAAACAUGGGCAACUUCCAUUUUUUGAGACUUAUAUUAUUAAAAA
This 836-nucleotide long non-coding RNA is filed under the name Equus caballus (horse). Its description in RNAcentral is "lncRNA (ENSECAG00000040358.3)". Lineage: Eukaryota; Metazoa; Chordata; Mammalia; Perissodactyla; Equidae. The record is from RNAcentral.